UCUAUCGUGAGAUAGAAUCUGAAGGGUUUGAGGAGAAGUGCCGGGCUGUAAUCAAAUAUCAUGAUGAACCGGUCGGCCAAAAGUGGGGCAAGGUCGAGCCUGCACUAUGGAGGCGAAGGCAAACUCAUCCACCCACUGUACCAAGGUGUGUGCGGACGGCACGGUACGGAAGAUUAGAGU
Molecule: non-coding RNA, 180 nt
Organism: Candidatus Scalindua sp.
Lineage: Bacteria; Pseudomonadati; Planctomycetota; Candidatus Brocadiia; Candidatus Brocadiales; Candidatus Scalinduaceae
Source: Rfam